CGCUUCUUUUUCCACCGGAGCUUGCUCCAUCGGAAAAAGAGGAGUGGCGAACGGGUGAGUAACACGUGGGUAACCUGCCCAUCAGAAGGGGAUAACACUUGGAAACAGGUGCUAAUACCGUAUAACAAUCGAAACCGCAUGGUUUUGAUUUGAAAGGCGCUUUCGGGUGUCGCUGAUGGAUGGACCCGCGGUGCAUUAGCUAGUUGGUGAGGUAACGGCUCACCAAGGCGACGAUGCAUAGCCGACCUGAGAGGGUGAUCGGCCACAUUGGGACUGAGACACGGCCCAAACUCCUACGGGAGGCAGCAGUAGGGAAUCUUCGGCAAUGGACGAAAGUCUGACCGAGCAACGCCGCGUGAGUGAAGAAGGUUUUCGGAUCGUAAAACUCUGUUGUUAGAGAAGAACAAGGAUGAGAGUAACUGUUCAUCCCUUGACGGUAUCUAACCAGAAAGCCACGGCUAACUACGUGCCAGCAGCCGCGGUAAUACGUAGGUGGCAAGCGUUGUCCGGAUUUAUUGGGCGUAAAGCGAGCGCAGGCGGUUUCUUAAGUCUGAUGUGAAAGCCCCCGGCUCAACCGGGGAGGGUCAUUGGAAACUGGGAGACUUGAGUGCAGAAGAGGAGAGUGGAAUUCCAUGUGUAGCGGUGAAAUGCGUAGAUAUAUGGAGGAACACCAGUGGCGAAGGCGGCUCUCUGGUCUGUAACUGACGCUGAGGCUCGAAAGCGUGGGGAGCAAACAGGAUUAGAUACCCUGGUAGUCCACGCCGUAAACGAUGAGUGCUAAGUGUUGGAGGGUUUCCGCCCUUCAGUGCUGCAGCUAACGCAUUAAGCACUCCGCCUGGGGAGUACGACCGCAAGGUUGAAACUCAAAGGAAUUGACGGGGGCCCGCACAAGCGGUGGAGCAUGUGGUUUAAUUCGAAGCAACGCGAAGAACCUUACCAGGUCUUGACAUCCUUUGACCACUCUAGAGAUAGAGCUUCCCCUUCGGGGGCAAAGUGACAGGUGGUGCAUGGUUGUCGUCAGCUCGUGUCGUGAGAUGUUGGGUUAAGUCCCGCAACGAGCGCAACCCUUAUUGUUAGUUGCCAUCAUUUAGUUGGGCACUCUAGCAAGACUGCCGGUGACAAACCGGAGGAAGGUGGGGAUGACGUCAAAUCAUCAUGCCCCUUAUGACCUGGGCUACACACGUGCUACAAUGGGAAGUACAACGAGUCGCAAAGUCGCGAGGCUAAGCUAAUCUCUUAAAGCUUCUCUCAGUUCGGAUUGUAGGC
This 1266-nucleotide ribosomal RNA is filed under the name Enterococcus sp. RNAcentral describes it as "bacterial SSU rRNA". It matches the Rfam family "Bacterial small subunit ribosomal RNA", at positions 67 to 1305 of the family's 1533-position model. The record is from RNAcentral. Lineage: Bacteria; Bacillati; Bacillota; Bacilli; Lactobacillales; Enterococcaceae.